GGGUCGGUGGCGUAGUUGGUUAUCGCAUCUGUCUAACAUAUCGUUCACAGAAGGUCCUCAGUUCGAACCUGGGCCGACUCA
Molecule: non-coding RNA, 81 nt
Organism: Fomitopsis schrenkii
Lineage: Eukaryota; Fungi; Basidiomycota; Agaricomycetes; Polyporales; Fomitopsidaceae
Source: the annotation of a GenBank genome assembly